CAGCACCGCGGUAAUACGGAGGGGGCUGGCGUUGUUCGGAAUUACUGGGCGUAAAGCGCACGUAGGCGGCUUGGUAAGUUAGAGGUGAAAGCCCGGAACUCAACUCCGGAAUUGCCUUUAAGACUGCCGAGCUAGUAGGUGAGAGAGGUAAGUGGAAUUCCGAGUGUAGAGGUGAAAUUCGUAGAUUUUCGGAAGAACACCAGUGGCGAAGGCGGCUCACUGGACCGACACUGACGCUGAGGCGCGAAAGCGUGGGGAGCAAACAGGAUUAGAUACCCCUGUAGUCCCUGUCUCUUAUACA
RNAcentral lists this ribosomal RNA (301 nucleotides) under uncultured bacterium. RNAcentral describes it as "partial 16S ribosomal RNA". It matches the Rfam family "Bacterial small subunit ribosomal RNA", at positions 509 to 808 of the family's 1533-position model. The record is from RNAcentral.